This 87-nucleotide transfer RNA is filed under the name candidate division WWE3 bacterium CG10_big_fil_rev_8_21_14_0_10_32_10. Its description in RNAcentral is "tRNA-Leu". It matches the Rfam family "tRNA". From Rfam's summary of the family: Transfer RNA (tRNA) molecules are approximately 80 nucleotides in length. Their secondary structure includes four short double-helical elements and three loops (D, anti-codon, and T loops). Further hydrogen bonds mediate the characteristic L-shaped molecular structure. tRNAs have two regions of fundamental functional importance: the anti-codon, which is responsible for specific mRNA codon recognition, and the 3' end, to which the tRNAs corresponding amino acid is attached (by aminoacyl-tRNA synthetases). tRNAs cope with the degeneracy of the genetic code in two manners: having more than one tRNA (with a specific anti-codon) for a particular amino acid; and 'wobble' base-pairing, i.e. permitting non-standard base-pairing at the 3rd anti-codon position. The record is from RNAcentral. Lineage: Bacteria; candidate division WWE3.
GGGCGAGUGUUGGAACUGGUAGACAAGCUAGCUUCAGAAGCUAGUGGGGGUUACCUCAUAUGGGUUCAAAUCCCAUCUCGCCCACCA